Molecule: ribosomal RNA, 156 nt
Rfam family: 5.8S ribosomal RNA
About the family: 5.8S ribosomal RNA (5.8S rRNA) is a component of the large subunit of the eukaryotic ribosome. It is transcribed by RNA polymerase I as part of the 45S precursor that also contains 18S and 28S rRNA. Functionally, it is thought that 5.8S rRNA may be involved in ribosome translocation.
Source: Ensembl
AACUCUUAGCGGUGGAUCACUCGGCUCGUGCGUCGAUGUCGAUGAAGAACGCAGCUAGCUGCGAACUAAUGUGAAUUGCAGGACACAUUGAUCAUCGACCUUUCGAACGCACCUUGCGCCCCGGGUUCCUCCGGGGCUACGCCUGUCUGAGAGUCG